This 90-nucleotide transfer RNA is filed under the name Cordylochernes scorpioides. RNAcentral's name for it is "tRNA-Glu". The record is from RNAcentral. Lineage: Eukaryota; Metazoa; Arthropoda; Arachnida; Pseudoscorpiones; Chernetidae.
UGUCCAAUGUGGGAAUCGAACCCGGAUCAUACUGGUCGAAAACCAAACGGUUUAACCAGUCUUCCACCGACCCCCCUGAGCUAAUAAAAC